RNAcentral lists this long non-coding RNA (1311 nucleotides) under Canis lupus dingo (dingo). Its description in RNAcentral is "lncRNA (ENSCAFG00020015554.1)". The record is from RNAcentral. Lineage: Eukaryota; Metazoa; Chordata; Mammalia; Carnivora; Canidae.
GGAACAUUAGGAAAUGGUGUAAAGCAUCAUUCUUGGUCUGUAAUAGUUCCUGACUUCUUUCCUUUGAUGAUAUCUGAAUUUCACUUUUAUUGUUGAUGGAAAGUCUUGGCAAUUCCUUCAAGAUGCCCUCUGCUUUCCCAAUAGGUCUGAAGUUGCACUCAUUCAGAACAAGGUGUGUUUCUGUGACUCUGGUCGGCGCUUUGUGGAUCUAAGGACCCUAAAACAGUUUAUAAUAAAUUCUUAGGGUCUCUACCAUUUUAUUCCUUUGAGACUUUUCAUCACAGUGUUAGAAUAACAGUAUGCAUUUUCAGAAAGAAAUGUAAGACUUAAUGACCAUUAGAUUUGUUUGUCAGAUCUGGUGAUCAGUGAGCCCCUACGUUCUACAAGACCAGAAGUAUCUUUGGGGUUACUCAAAAGGAGUGUUCCCAUAGAAAUCUUUAAGCCUCAAUCUCAUUGUAUGUCCUGGGAUAUCUCCUCUAUUCCUCUAUUUCAGAAUGUCCCCUGUGUUCUUCACCAAAGUUGUUCUGCUCAAAGCCAGCAGAUACCUGCUAAUAUGAAUAAUGGUCCAGAACAAUUUGGAAAGGGAGACAACCCAGCUGUGUCUGCCUCAUGCUACUGAAAAACUAGGUUCCUGACCUAGAAUCAGACAGCACCAAGAAAAAGUCUGGAGAAAAUGACACACCUGGUACAUGUCCCCUUCCAGGGGGCGCCACUCUCGCUGGACAAAGGAGUUGGAGGCGGGUGGUCCUUUCCCUGGAACUCACCUGAAGGCACCUCAUCCUGGUCCUCCACCUUGUGCAAGGAUGGGCACUGCUGCUUACCCUUACUUACUGUCUUGUGUCCCUCCCCGCAUUACCCACUCCUUUUGAGAACCAUCUCUUGUUCCUUACGUCUCCACGUGCCAAAAAGUCUUUGUUGACUUCUAUGGCAAAGUCAGUGGCCUCUUACUCCUCCCCCUGCUUGCCCGUCCUUAGCAUUUAAUACACCUGACUCUCCCCUCCUUCUGGAAACAGUCUCCUUCCCUGGCCUCCCUGCUUCAUCUGUUUCCUCAUGGCCCCCUCCUCACUCUCUGACCAGCUCUCCAUUCCCAGUCUUCUCUGAAAUCUUGAUGUUUCUGAAAUGCUGUGUUCUUAGCCCUUUUAUUCUUCAUAGCCCUUUCUCUGGGCAAUCUCACUUACACCUGUGGCUUAGGCUAAAACUUAUAUACUGAUCACUUUCUUUCCUUCUUAUUCAAUUAAAACUCUCUUGUAAUUACAAAGCAUCACAUGGACAGAUAAACAAAAUAAGAAAAUAAAAGCACUAUUUCCACCA